This 251-nucleotide ribosomal RNA is filed under the name uncultured bacterium. RNAcentral describes it as "partial 16S ribosomal RNA". It matches the Rfam family "Bacterial small subunit ribosomal RNA", at positions 524 to 776 of the family's 1533-position model. The record is from RNAcentral.
UACGGGGGAGCAAGCGUUGUUCGGAUUUACUGGGCGUAAAGGGCGCGUAGGCGGCCACCGCAAGUCACUUGUGAAAUCUCCGGGCUUAACCCGGAAAGGUCAACUGAUACUGCGGGGCUAGAGUGCAGAAGGGCAACUGGAAUUCUCGGUGUAGCGGUGAAAUGCGUAGAUAUCGAGAGGAACACCUGCGGCGAAGGCGGGUUGCUGGGCUGACACUGACGCUGAGGCGCGAAAGCCAGGGAGCGAACGGG